UGUCGUGAUUGACUCCGUUUUGCGCGUGACAUGUUGCACCGCGCUGGGUUAAACAAGUCCUUUAAGAAUUUGUAGGCUAUUUGUCGAUUGUGGGUUUGUGAAACCCUUGGAGACUUCGAUGUGAUUAAGGGGUAAACAGGUAACCUGACUUGACUUUGUGCCUGACAUCUCUUAUCUGAUAAAACACAGUUUAAAACUGAAGAAUGAAGAUCAACUUUAUUUCAGUUUACUUACACUACAAACCAGAAAAGGUUUUCACAUUUUCUUUCACCUGCCGUCACCUACUACGGCAAGAAACUAGAGGCUUACAAAGCAGACUUGCAGAAACCCAUGACGAGACACAAAUUGUCUCCACAAUGAAGUCAGUUGAGGAGAAAAGCAACACAUCUGGAUGCGUUUGCCUUCAUUUUUUUUGCUGUUGUUUUGUAGUGCUGCGUGCCUGUCAACAAACAUCUGUCAAAACACAAUUUGGAACUUUGAAAUAAUCACAAACUCCAGUUCAAUAUGGCAUGAAGCAUUACAUGGCACUCAUACUGCAAACCUGUAAACGUUGUCCAACUUCCUCUUACCCAUCUUCCUAUUACACUAGCAAUGAACUAUACAGUGGACCAACAAUAUACAUCAAGUACAUUAUUAGAAAUCACACUUUUUGGCACUUGAGUCAGUCUUUGGUUUUUAAGGAGCUGCCAAGACCGAGUCCCAAUCUGAUACCUCGCAAUCCAUAAAAUAAUGUGCAUACACUCUCAAAGUAUGUUAACGUCAAGCUCAAUACGUAUCCAUGUGCAGGACGCUUUUGUAAAAUGUAUUUUAAUGUAGGCCUCAUAUGUGUGGACAUUAAUGAAGAAUGAAGGAUUCCUCAGUUUGAACGUGUAUUUAAUUAAAUGGUUAUCUAUCGACAUGUGCAGGCUAAAAUGAUGAGUCCAUACAGUUACGUAGUUGGUGGGCAUGUGCGUGACUUCUCUCAACUCUAAUCAACAAUAUUGAUUUAAGGCCUUGUUAAAUGCAACAGUGGCAAACAAGCUCGCAAAUGAUUUACACUUGUUAAACUUCUAUUUGACGUUUCAUCGUUUGGAUGAGUCGCAGUUCCUAACCUGCCUGUUGCUCCCUCCACUCUUAUGCCGCUCAUUGAGGCAGCUUUAUAGCAGGGAUGGCAGAAUUAGUCUAUUUCAGAAGUAUCUUUUGCCUUACAUCGUUUUUUUUUUUUUGUCUUUGUUGCUCCAAUUUCUUACUGCUGCAGCGCGGAGGAGACCCCUGUGUACACACAGAUGUGCCUCUGUGUGUGCCCGUGUUUGUGUGGCUUUGCUACCAUUUCGACUAUUACCUCCCCAAAAAUACUAACAUUGUGUCAUGUAAACUUAAGCUAUUACUCCUCCAUUUGACAAGGUAUUGAUAGUUUUGACUAUUUAGUUUCUGUGUGACCUGUACAACUUCAGAAAAUGAAGGAAAACAAUCUUCUUGCCCCGAUCAACUGAAAACCACAGUAUCCGACCCGAAUUCUGAUCACGUGAUCGGAUUGGGACCCAAAUAGCAGGCAUGGGGAGGCUGGCGCGACUCAGCUGUAAGUACAGUGUACUAUAGGCUGAUGGUUGUUCACUGAAAGACAGGGUGCUGUUUAAUCUUCUGACUGACCGGGCUCGGAUUUAGCAAAGAGCUCAACUACCAGCUAAGUGGAUUGUCUCUUUCUUACCCUCGGAGGGGCUGGCCCCGUCUCAUAGAAGUGAACCCCGUGCUCACCCCCUCCCUCUCCUGGGUCAAUGGUGAGUCCCGCUUCUCAGUGUGGAAAAGAAGUGAGGAUCUUUGAAAGGCAAUGGGCCUCAUUCGCUAACUGCGCCUACGCACAAAUGAGUGUGCCUCGCAUGCAUACGUACGUUUGACGCACGCGUUUGUGAUUCAUCAAUAUCUUUGAACUUGAAUUCGUGGGUUAUUCCGCAAACAAAUUUAGAACAUCCUCGGACUAUUCGGAUGCAUAAAGAACAAGGGAUCAACCUUUCAAAAGAAGUUGAGCACACGUUUGCUAACCAAGAUGCACAACGUAUUGAAACUGCAGUCGUUUCUAAAAUCAAUAAUGAUUUGAAGAAUAAUAAAUUAAAUUGGGCAUUUAGUAUUGAAUUUACUAAUGUCUUAAAGGGGAAUUCAAAUCAGAAAUGCUCUUUAUAAUAAUAUGUUCUACGGCCCCCACUGUUCGAAACACGGCAAUCUGAUGAACAUUACUUUUAUGGAGUAUGACAAUGUUUGUGCGCAAUAAUUCCUGCACAUUUGGUAGUGAUUGAGGCCCAAUGAAAGCAUCUUUUGGCAUUGACGCCACACCAAACAUAAAUCAUCCCUGGGGCAACCACUAUUUUAUUCACAAUGUCAUUAAGCAAGAGAGCUGACUCAUUGUGUACAAACUUAAAAAAAAAA
Hippocampus comes (tiger tail seahorse) is the source of this 2400-nucleotide long non-coding RNA. RefSeq lists it as uncharacterized. The transcript has 2 exons. The record is from RefSeq and is a predicted model, not a curated record. Lineage: Eukaryota; Metazoa; Chordata; Actinopteri; Syngnathiformes; Syngnathidae.